RNAcentral lists this ribosomal RNA (393 nucleotides) under uncultured bacterium. Its description in RNAcentral is "partial 16S ribosomal RNA". It matches the Rfam family "Bacterial small subunit ribosomal RNA", at positions 523 to 918 of the family's 1533-position model. The record is from RNAcentral.
AUACGGAGGAUCCGAGCGUUAUCCGGAUUUAUUGGGUUUAAAGGGUGCGCAGGCGGGAGAUUAAGUCGGCGGUGAAAUUUUGCAGCUCAACUGUAAAAGAGCCUUCGAAACUGGUUUCCUUGCGUGUAGACGAAGUAGGCGGAAUUUGUGGUGUAGCGGUGAAAUGCAUAGAUAUCACGAGGAACUCCGAUUGCGCAGGCAGCUUACUAAACUACUACUGACGCUCAGGCACGAAGGCGUGGGGAUCAAACAGGAUUAGAUACCCUGGUAGUCCACGCAGUAAACGAUGAUUACUAGCUGUUUGCGAUACAAUGUAAGCGGCUGAGCGAAAGCGUUAAGUAAUCCACCUGGGGAGUACGUGCGCAAGAAUGAAACUCAAAGGAAUUGACGGGG